This 528-nucleotide ribosomal RNA is filed under the name Elphidium sp. S3. Its description in RNAcentral is "SSU rRNA". It matches the Rfam family "Eukaryotic small subunit ribosomal RNA", at positions 1198 to 1572 of the family's 1831-position model. Lineage: Eukaryota; Foraminifera; Rotaliida; Elphidiidae. The record is from RNAcentral.
ACUCACGCGGGAAUCUUACCGGGUCCGGACACACUGAGGAUUGACAGGUUCCGAGAGUUUUUGCUUCGGCAAUGCUCUCUUAAAUAUGAUAGUCCUUUCAUGAUUAUGUGAUAGGUGGUGCAUGGCCGUUCUUAGUUCGUGGAGUGAUCUGUCUGCUUAAUUGCGUUUCACUAAAGGCGUCAUAUCUGUUUUGUUGCGUGUUUGACCCCUCUUCGGAGCGCGUGUCUUCACGCACAAUUACUUUGGCGUCUGAAAGCAACGAACGUGACCGUAACCUCUUGUUGCCUUCUCUUCUCCUCGGAGAAUGCUGUUUGUUUUUGCAGGCAGUAUAUGGAGGCUUUUUUACUCAACAACUAGAGGGACCGCUGUUUCUUUCUUUAAACCAGAGGAAGGAUACGGCAAUAACAGGUCUGUGAUGCCCUUAGAUGUUCCGGGCUGCACACGUGAUACAUUGAUUACUUCAGUGAGUAUCUACGUUUUACUGCGUGGCAUUGCAAUGCAUAUUUCUUCGGAAGUGUGUUUUUGUUU